RNAcentral lists this ribosomal RNA (493 nucleotides) under uncultured bacterium. RNAcentral describes it as "bacterial SSU rRNA". It matches the Rfam family "Bacterial small subunit ribosomal RNA", at positions 357 to 844 of the family's 1533-position model. The record is from RNAcentral.
GGGAAUUUUGCACAAUGGGCGCAAGCCUGAUGCAGCAAUGCCGCGUGWGGGAAGAAGGCUUUAGGGUUGUAAACCACUUUCAAUUGGGAAGAAGAGAUGAGUGUUAAUAACAUUCUGAUUUGACGGUACCUUUAGAAGAAGCACCGGCUAAUUUCGUGCCAGCAGCCGCGGUAAUACGAAAGGUGCAAGCGUUGUUCGGAUUUACUGGGCGUAAAGAGAUCGUAGGUGGUUUGUUAAGUUGGAUGUGAAAUCCCGGGGCUCAACCUCGGAAUUGCAUCCAAAACUGACGGACUUGAGUUUGGGAGAGGUAAGCGGAAUUCCGUGUGUAGCAGUGAAAUGCGUAGAUAUAUGGAGGAACACCGAGGCGAAAGCGGCUUUCUGGACCAAUACUGACACUGAGGAUCGAAAGCGUGGGUAGCAAACAGGAUUAGAUACCCYGGUAUCCACGCCCUAAACGAUUCAACUAGCCGUUGCGGCUUUUGACCCCUGCAGU